UGAUUUGAGGGGUCUGGCAGGCUAGGCAGGGACCCCCUUCCUCCCUCACCACACAGUGCAUCUCUCUGAAAGUUGCAAACUUGGUGGAAAGAGGACAAUCAUUCCAGAUACAGAAGUACCAUUCUUUGCUCCAAGGUAUAUGACAGCUGUUUUCCCCUACCAGACCCUCCAAACAAGCUCAAAGUGCAAGUUAAUUUAAAUUUAAUUUAUACCCUGGCAACAUGAUUUUAAUUGUU
This 236-nucleotide small nuclear RNA is filed under the name Salvator merianae (Argentine black and white tegu). RNAcentral's name for it is "7SK RNA (ENSSMRG00000016454.1)". It matches the Rfam family "7SK RNA", at positions 54 to 331 of the family's 331-position model. Rfam says of the family: 7SK was discovered as an abundant small nuclear RNA in the mid-70s but a possible function has only recently been suggested. Two independent studies have found that 7SK RNA binds the CDK9/cyclin T complex (known as elongation factor P-TEFb). Lineage: Eukaryota; Metazoa; Chordata; Lepidosauria; Squamata; Teiidae. The record is from RNAcentral.